GAAGACGGCCAUAGUGGGUUGGAAACACCUGUUCCCUUUCCGAACACAGAAGUUAAGCUUCCCACGUUGUUGGUGGUAGUGGCUCACAAGCUGCGAACCCUUCAAGCUGUCUUUC
This 115-nucleotide ribosomal RNA is filed under the name Nanobdellota archaeon. The record is from RNAcentral. Lineage: Archaea; Nanobdellati; Nanobdellota.